RNAcentral lists this ribosomal RNA (419 nucleotides) under uncultured bacterium. RNAcentral describes it as "bacterial SSU rRNA". It matches the Rfam family "Bacterial small subunit ribosomal RNA", at positions 1081 to 1501 of the family's 1533-position model. The record is from RNAcentral.
UAAGUCCCGUAACGAGCGCAACCCUUAUCCUUACUUGCCAGCACGUAAUGGUGGGAACUUUAAGGAGACUGCCGGUGACAAACCGGAGGAAGGAGAGGAUGAUGUCAAGUCAUCAUGGCCCUUACGGCCUGGGCUACACACGUGCUACAAUGGGGAGUACAAAGGGUAGCAAUACCGCGAGGUGGAGCAAAUCCCAAAAAACUUCUCGUAGUCCGGAUUGGAGUCUGCAACUCGACUCCAUGAAGUCGGAAUCGCUAGUAAUCGCGAAUCAGCAUGUCGCGGUGAAUACGUUCCCGGGCCUUGUACACACCGCCCGUCAUACCAUGGGAGUGGGUUGCACCAGAAGUGGCUAGUCUAACUUCGGAGGACGGUCACCACGGUGUGAUUCAUGACUGGGGUAAAGUCGUAACAAGGUAGCC